RNAcentral lists this long non-coding RNA (274 nucleotides) under Penaeus japonicus. RNAcentral describes it as "uncharacterized LOC122264888". Lineage: Eukaryota; Metazoa; Arthropoda; Malacostraca; Decapoda; Penaeidae. The record is from RNAcentral.
ACUGUGCAUCAUCUAAACAUCAGAAGUCACCACAACACUACACCUAUGAUGAAAAUAAUCAGAUUAUCUUAUCGAUGUCCAUCAUAAUCAGUGAUUUGUGAUCCCGAGCAAACAACUUACACAUCGCUGACCGUCAACGUCUCGGUAAACAAGAUCUGGACCAGCAUUGUGAAGACAUGUCUGUAAGAAACCUAUUAUUACUCUCGAAUUCCACUGUCCAUGGAAGUGGGUAUUUGGAAUGGGCGGCUCAACACAUCCAGGAAUUCUUGAAAAG